GUGGGGAAUAUUGCACAAUGGGCGCAAGCCUGAUGCAGCGACGCCGCGUGGGGGAUGACGGCCUUCGGGUUGUAAACUCCUUUCGCUAGGGACGAAGCGUUUUGUGACGGUACCUGGAGAAGAAGCACCGGCUAACUACGUGCCAGCAGCCGCGGUAAUACGUAGGGUGCGAGCGUUGUCCGGAAUUACUGGGCGUAAAGAGCUCGUAGGUGGUUUGUCGCGUCGUUUGUGUAAGCCCGCAGCUUAACUGCGGGACUGCAGGCGAUACGGGCAUAACUUGAGUGCUGUAGGGGAGACUGGAAUUCCUGGUGUAGCGGUGGAAUGCGCAGAUAUCAGGAGGAACACCGAUGGCGAAGGCAGGUCUCUGGGCAGUAACUGACGCUGAGGAGCGAAAGCAUGGGUAGCGA
Molecule: ribosomal RNA, 407 nt
Filed under: uncultured Corynebacterium sp.
Lineage: Bacteria; Bacillati; Actinomycetota; Actinomycetes; Mycobacteriales; Corynebacteriaceae
Description: bacterial SSU rRNA
Rfam family: Bacterial small subunit ribosomal RNA
Source: RNAcentral